CGUGGCACUGCUUUUUGCCCACAAAAACACGUGGGUGUGCACACACGCACGCAUCUAUGUACAGAGCACUGAAUACCAUCAGCAGACGCAGCCAACGUCUGUGGAAGCAGACACAACACCGACAGCACCGGGCAGACUGGUGUAAAGCCAAUUAUUAAAAACAAAUAAGCCGACUUUUCUGUGAAUUGCUCGCCAACGUCUGUGCUUUAGCAGUUUGUGAAGUAACCCUUUCUGGCUUGUGAAGACUCCAGUCAUGUGCGGUGAAAGCAUCAGGCCGGGGGCAUGAAGGAGAGCAAGUUUGUUGGUGACAGACAGCUACUCCAGCCAAUCAUUUCGUCCGGUCAUUUUAUUAAAUAACCUGUGAGGGCCACAG
Molecule: long non-coding RNA, 373 nt
Organism: Pleuronectes platessa (European plaice)
Lineage: Eukaryota; Metazoa; Chordata; Actinopteri; Pleuronectiformes; Pleuronectidae
Exons: 3
Source: RefSeq, a predicted model, not a curated record